GGCUGUAGCUCAAUGGUAAAGUGCUUGCCUCGUAUGUGUGAGGCACUGAGUUCAAUCCUCAGCACCA
Molecule: transfer RNA, 67 nt
Filed under: Marmota monax (woodchuck)
Lineage: Eukaryota; Metazoa; Chordata; Mammalia; Rodentia; Sciuridae
Description: tRNA.Thr
Source: RNAcentral